ACGCUGGCGGUGUGCUUAACACAUGCAAGUGGUGCGACGAACCAGAGCUUGCUCUAGGGGCAAAGCCGCGAACGGGUGAGUAACACGUGGGUAAUCUACCCCGAUGACCGGGACAACCCGAGGAAACUCGGGCUAAUACCGGAUGUGGUACGGAGACAUAAGUCUCUUUACUAAAGGUAGCUUCGGCUUCCGCAUUGGGAGGGGCCCGCGGCCCAUUAGCUAGUUGUGGGGUCAAGGCCUACCAAGGCAACGAUGGGUAGCUGGUCUGAGAGGACGAUCAGCCACACUGGGACUGAGACACGGCCCAGACUCCUACGGGAGGCAGCAGUGGGGAAUCUUGCGCAAUGCGCGAAAGCGUGACGCAGCAACACCGCGUGAGGGAAGACGGCCUUAGGGUUGUAAACCUCUUUCAGAUGGGACGAAGGUGAUGCGGUGAAUAGCCGAUGUCAUUGACGGUACCGUCAGAAGAAGCUCCGGCUAACUACGUG
Molecule: ribosomal RNA, 488 nt
Filed under: uncultured bacterium
Lineage: Bacteria
Description: bacterial SSU rRNA
Rfam family: Bacterial small subunit ribosomal RNA
Source: RNAcentral